This 904-nucleotide ribosomal RNA is filed under the name uncultured bacterium. Its description in RNAcentral is "bacterial SSU rRNA". It matches the Rfam family "Bacterial small subunit ribosomal RNA", at positions 8 to 916 of the family's 1533-position model. The record is from RNAcentral.
AGAGUUUGAUCAUGGCUCAGGACGAACGCUGGCGGCGUGCUUAACACAUGCAAGUCGAACGAUGAUCUCCAGCUUGCUGGGGGGAUUAGUGGCGAACGGGUGAGUAACACGUGAGUAACCUGCCCUCGACUCUGGGAUAAGCGUUGGAAACGACGUCUAAUACCGGAUAUGACUUCUGACGGCAUCGUCUGGGAGUGGAAAGAUUUUUUGGUCAAGGAUGGACUCGCGGCCUAUCAGGUAGUUGGUGAGGUAAUGGCUCACCAAGCCGACGACGAGUAGCCGGCCUGAGAGGGUGACCGGCCACACUGGGACUGAGACACGGCCCAGACUCCUACGGGAGGCAGCAGUGGGGAAUAUUGCACAAUGGGCGAAAGCCUGAUGCAGCAACGCCGCGUGAGGGACGACGGCCUUCGGGUUGUAAACCUCUUUUAGUUGGGAAGAAGGGAGCUUGCUCUUGACGGUACCAGCAGAAAAAGCACCGGCUAACUACGUGCCAGCAGCCGCGGUAAUACGUAGGGUGCAAGCGUUGUCCGGAAUUAUUGGGCGUAAAGAGCUCGUAGGCGGUUUGUCGCGUCUGCUGUGAAAUCUGGGGGCUCAACCCCCAGCCUGCAGUGGGUACGGGCAGACUAGAGUGCGGUAGGGGAGAUUGGAAUUCCUGGUGUAGCGGUGGAAUGCGCAGAUAUCAGGAGGAACACCGAUGGCGAAGGCAGAUCUCUGGGCCGUUACUGACGCUGAGGAGCGAAAGCAUGGGGAGCGAACAGGAUUAGAUACCCUGGUAGUCCAUGCCGUAAACGUUGGGAACUAGAUGUAGGGGCCAUUCCACGGUUUCUGUGUCGCAGCUAACGCAUUAAGUUCCCCGCCUGGGGAGUACGGCCGCAAGGCUAAAACUCAAAUGAAUUGACGG